AGAAAGUAUGGCUGCCAUUAUCGCACAAAUCUCUCUCCAGAAUUCUAAGAGAAAUAAUAUAAGACGACUUCCACCUGAGAAGUGUGCGUAUAAUUUAAACCCAUUUCCUCCAACAUUUCUCCCAGCUGUACAUAACAAGUACAUAUCCAGGAGAACAGAACACCUGCGUAGAAAAGAAGAGAAAAAUAAACAUCAAAGACUGAUUUUAC
This is a long non-coding RNA of Eurytemora carolleeae, 209 nucleotides long. RefSeq lists it as uncharacterized. Lineage: Eukaryota; Metazoa; Arthropoda; Copepoda; Calanoida; Temoridae. The record is from RefSeq and is a predicted model, not a curated record. The transcript has 3 exons.